This 71-nucleotide transfer RNA is filed under the name Bos taurus (domestic cattle). It matches the Rfam family "tRNA". From Rfam's summary of the family: Transfer RNA (tRNA) molecules are approximately 80 nucleotides in length. Their secondary structure includes four short double-helical elements and three loops (D, anti-codon, and T loops). The record is from Rfam by way of RNAcentral. Lineage: Eukaryota; Metazoa; Chordata; Mammalia; Artiodactyla; Bovidae. RNAcentral also lists the same sequence under 5 other names.
UCCUGUGUAGCUGAGUCGGUAAAGCAUCUGCCUGCAAUACAGAAGACCUGGGUUCAGUUCCUGGGUUGGAA